UACAGAGGGUGCGAGCGUUAAUCGGAAUUACUGGGCGUAAAGCGCGCGUAGGCGGCUUUUCAAGUCGAUUGUGAAAUCCCCGGGCUUAACCUGGGAACUGCAGUCGAGACUGUCUAGCUAGAGUAUGGGAGAGGGAAGUGGAAUUUCAGGUGUAGCGGUGGAAUGCGUAGAGAUCGGGAAGAACAUCAGUGGCGAAGGCGGCCUGCUGGGCUGUUGCUGACGCUGAGGCGCGACAGCGUGGGGAGCAAACAGG
RNAcentral lists this ribosomal RNA (253 nucleotides) under uncultured bacterium. RNAcentral describes it as "partial 16S ribosomal RNA". It matches the Rfam family "Bacterial small subunit ribosomal RNA", at positions 524 to 776 of the family's 1533-position model. The record is from RNAcentral.